AAUAAGAACGCAAAGGAUGCGUAUCUGCUUUCUAUAGAUCGGAAAGGAUUGGAUGUGGUGGGAAAAGUUUUAGGUCCAAUAAGGAGUGAUGGUUCUCGUGAAUAUCAGUGGAGGGAGUUGAGAAUUGCAUUCAGAGAAGAGGCACACACUGUUGAAACAUUCUGCCGUCAGCUUGUUGAAAUGGAGGAGGAAUCACUCGAGAGUAUCUCCAACUUUAGUGGUAUAUAAAUAGGGUGGAAUUAGCAUCGCACCGACAGAUUUGAAGAGCAAGCAACCUGUGAUGGACAGGAAUAAUUGCAUCAUGGGUCAUUUUUGACAGAAGGGGAGCUGUGAUAGAGGGUAGAUUAGUGAUCUUGUGAUUUGAGGUGUGUUCAUUAUCUGUUCUUGUAAUCUAGAUCAUAAAAGGUUAAUAACCUUAGCUGAGCUGUGACACUGUAAGUUGAG
RNAcentral lists this unclassified non-coding RNA (444 nucleotides) under Hevea brasiliensis (rubber tree). The record is from RNAcentral. Lineage: Eukaryota; Viridiplantae; Streptophyta; Magnoliopsida; Malpighiales; Euphorbiaceae.